AGUGGCGGUCGUAAAGCUACUUGUAUGAGCCUGCGGUGUGUCAAAAUUGUUCUUAUUGCAGAUUAUAAUAGUAAAGGCGUAAACUCGUACGGAUAUUGAACGUAGCUCAAUAACUAGCUUGGCGUUGAGAAUCCAAUGUAAGAGAGUGAACGGUGUAUCGAAAGAGUUUUAGAUUUGUGCAUCUGUGAAUAGUAUAUUUAUUUAUUUUUGGAUUCCUGACUUGAGUCUAGAGAUUGAAUUGGAAGAAGAAAACUUGGUUAAUAACUUUGUCUCUCUGUUUAUCCUCAUGUACUGUCUGUCAGUCUCUAUUUCGUUUUUGAUUGUUAA
This 327-nucleotide long non-coding RNA is filed under the name Brassica napus (rape). Its description in RNAcentral is "long non-coding RNA (BNAP_LNC008265)". Lineage: Eukaryota; Viridiplantae; Streptophyta; Magnoliopsida; Brassicales; Brassicaceae. The record is from RNAcentral.